Long non-coding RNA from Apis mellifera (honey bee), 395 nucleotides. RefSeq lists it as uncharacterized. The record is from RefSeq and is a predicted model, not a curated record. Lineage: Eukaryota; Metazoa; Arthropoda; Insecta; Hymenoptera; Apidae. The transcript has 3 exons.
AGUAUAUAAGAUAUAAAGAUUUAAAAAUAUAUAAAUAUAUAUAAAUGUGCGUAAUUUUUACCAGAAGUUAUGGCAUAAAAUAUUGAAAUUCAGCUAAAAUAUAUUAUUGUAUAGUAGUUAUAUUAGCCGCCAUAUUGGUUUCUUUUACUACCUGAGUUUAUAGAAACAAUAGAUAUUAAAUUUAUGGAAUGCUCAACUUGCUAUGGAUAAAUACAUCCUAAAAUAUUCAUAAAUAUUGGCCAAUAUUAAGCAAGCAAUAAUAUGUAUGUAAUAUCAUUAAAAGAGGAAACAAGAACAGAUUUUUUUUAUAUUAGUAAACGACUGGAAGAAACAAAUGAUAUCACAAAGAAUAUGACGGUUAAUGUAAUCUAUAAAAUAAAAUAUUUUUUUAUAUA